UACGUAGGGUGCAAGCGUUGUCCGGAAUUAUUGGGCGUAAAGAGCUCGUAGGCGGUUUGUCGCGUCUGCUGUGAAAUCCCGAGGCUCAACCUCGGGCCUGCAGUGGGUACGGGCAGACUAGAGUGCGGUAGGGGAGAUUGGAAUUCCUGGUGUAGCGGUGAAAUGCGCAGAUAUCGGGAAGAACACCCGUGGCGAAGGCGGUUCUCUGGGACGGUACUGACGCUGAGACGCGAAAGCGUGGGGAGCGAACAGG
Molecule: ribosomal RNA, 253 nt
Filed under: uncultured bacterium
Lineage: Bacteria
Description: partial 16S ribosomal RNA
Rfam family: Bacterial small subunit ribosomal RNA
Source: RNAcentral